CCUACGGGAGGCAGCAGUGGGGAAUAUUGGACAAUGGGCGCAAGCCUGAUCCAGCCAUGCCGCGUGGAUGAUGAAGGCCUUAGGGUUGUAAAAUCCUUUCGACGGGGAAGCGGUACCCGUAGAAGAAGCCCCGGCUAACUUCGUGCCAGCAGCCGCGGUAAUACGAAGGGGGCUAGCGUUGCUCGGAAUCACUGGGCGUAAAGCGCACGUAGGCGGCUUUUUAAGUCAGAGGUGAAAUCCUGGAGCUCAACUCCAGAACUGCCUUUGAUACUGAAGAGCUUGAGUCCGGGAGAGGUGAGUGGAACUGCGAGUGUAGAGGUGAAAUUCGUAGAUAUUCGCAAGAACACCAGUGGCGAAGGCGGCUCACUGGCCCGGACUGACGCUGAGGUGCGAAAGCGUGGGGAGCAAACAGGAUUAAUACCCUUGUAGUC
Molecule: ribosomal RNA, 431 nt
Filed under: uncultured bacterium
Lineage: Bacteria
Description: partial 16S ribosomal RNA
Rfam family: Bacterial small subunit ribosomal RNA
Source: RNAcentral